ACAUAAUUUGACCAAAAAAUAAAAGAGUGAGAGAAUGGUGAAGUAAUUACCUCAAAAUUUAAAAAUUGAAAAAAAGAGAAGCGGUGAAGCGAAAUCCCAUGUAAUGCAAUUCAACCCACCCACAUCAUCUUUAAUCUAACCGUUACCACAUAGAAAUAAAGCUGAGACGAUGAUCAAUUGCGUCUCUUUCAUGGACGACCCAGUUGCCCUCUUCAUGUCUCUCGAUGACUGGCAAGAUGAUGCAUCCUCCUCUUCUCAAUCUUCUUCCGACACUUUCUUGGUCGGUUUUGUUAUUGCUAACAUAGUGGGUCUCCGUUAUUAUUCCGGCACCAUCACUGGCCGGGAACUGGUCGGUUUGGUUCGCGAAUCCACCAACCCUUAUGAUCACAAUGCUAUUCGAGUCCUCAAUACAAGAACCGUUCAAGUGGGUCACAUUGAAAGGUCAGUGGCUUCUGUUUUGUCUCCUUUGAUUGACUCUAGGAAAAUUACUGUGGAAGGUAUUGUUGCUAACUCUCGUAGUACUCUUAAUAAGUUCAAAAUUCCUUGUCAAGUUCAUGUCUUUGCGAGGAUUGAGGAUCUUGACUCUGUUAAAACUGAGAUUAUGCGUUCUGGGUUGGUUUUGAUUACUGAAAAUGAUGCCAGUUUUGGGUUGUCUGAGGCCAUGGUGGUUAAAGAAAAUAAUAAGAAAACUGGGAAUAGAAGUGUGGAUGAAAUUUUUAAGUUGGUGGAUGACAGUGUGAGUAAAAAGGGUAAAUUAGGGACUUUGGAGCCGCCCAAGGAGGUGAUUAAGUCCGAGCUUUUUGCGCAUCAGAAGGAGGGGCUGUGGUGGUUGAUGAAUAGAGAGAAUUCUGAUGAAUUGCCUCCCUUUUGGGAGGAGAAAGACGGGAAAUUUGUGAAUGUGUUGACGAAUUAUCAGUCUUAUAACCGGCCUGAGCCAUUGCGUGGUGGCAUUCUUGCGGAUGAUAUGGGGUUGGGAAAAACUUUAACUCUGCUAUCUCUGAUUGCUUUUGAUAAAGUUAGUAGUGAUAAGAGUAUUGAUAGAAGAAAUAUCAAACAACAACCAUGUGAGGUGGAUGAGGAAGUGUCUCUUACGAAUGACAAUAAAGGGAAGAGAGGUAGGGUUAAAAAGGAGACCGGAGGGCGAAAAAGGCGUAAAACUGAAGAUACUUGUUUAGAUAGUAAGGUACAAGGGAAGUCUGUGAGUACAAUUGACAAGUCGUGCAGUGCAGGACCAACACUAAUUGUGUGCCCGCCUGUUGUGUUCUCAACAUGGAUAACACAGCUCGAAGAUCACACUGAACCAGGAUCGCUCAAAGUAUACAUUUAUCAUGGGGAAAGGACUAAAGAAGCUGAUGUGCUUAGGAAGCAAGAUAUAGUGUUGACGACAUAUAGUACAUUGGUUAGUGAAGAUUCUUCUGAAGACUCCCCUGUGAAGAUGAUCAACUGGUGGAGAGUCAUUUUGGAUGAGGCACAUGUCAUCAAGAAUGCAAUUGCACAACAAAGUCGAGCAGUUACUAAUUUGAAGGCUAAGAGGAGAUGGGUUGUUACUGGAACGCCUAUACAGAAUGGAUCGUUAGAUUUGUUUUCGCUGAUGGCAUUUUUGCGAUUUGAGCCAUUUUCCAUCAAGAAUUAUUGGCAAAGUCUGGUGCAACGCCCACUUGCCCAGGGGGAUAAAAAGGGGCUCUCACGGCUGCAGGUUUUAAUGGCGACAAUUUCUUUGCGGAGAACAAAAGACAAGGGUUUAGUUGGUUUGCCAUCGAAAACUGUGGAAACUUGUUACGUUGAACUUUCACAAGAAGAAUGUGAAAUGUAUGACCAGAUGGAAGGGGAAGCAAAGGGUGUUGUCCAAAGCUUUAUUAAUACUGAUAGUCUAACUCGCAACUAUUCUACAGUACUUUGCAUUAUUUUACGACUUCGACAGAUAUGCAACGAUCCGGCUUUGUGUCCAUCAGAUCUGAGGGCAUUACUUCCUUCCAACAGUAUUGAAGAUGUCUCCAAUAACCCUGAAUUGCUUGAGAAGGUAGUUGCGUUACUGCAGGACGGUGAAGAUUUUGACUGCCCAAUUUGCAUUUCUCCACCAACAGAUACUGUAAUUACGCGAUGUGCUCAUGUAUUUUGCCGACCCUGCAUCUUGAAAACCCUGCAACGCGUGAAGCCCAGCUGCCCACUUUGCCGCCGAUGUCUAACUAUGGCUGACCUGUUUUCAGCGCCUCCUGAAUCUUCUUCCACUGAAAACACUGAAAUUUCUGGUUCAAAAUCAAACGCAUCAUCCAAGGUCCGUGCUCUUCUGAACCUGCUCAUUGCAGCAAGAGAGAGAAACCCGACUGCAAAAUCAGUAAUAUUUUCACAAUUUCAGAAGAUGUUGGUAUUACUUGAAGAGCCGCUAAAAGCAGCUGGUUUUAAGAUCUUGCGGUUAGACGGAACAAUGAGUGCAAAGAAGAAGCAUCAAGUGAUAAAAGAUUUUGGUGCGCUUGGACCGAUUGGGCCCACUGUUCUGCUAGCGAGUCUAAAGGCUUCAGGUGCUGGUAUAAACCUUACAUCUGCUUCCACAGUGUAUUUGUUGGAGCCAUGGUGGAACCCAGCCGUUGAGGAACAAGCAAUGGACCGUGUGCAUCGAAUUGGACAGAAAGAGGAUGUGACAGUGGUGAGGUUGAUCACCCGAAACAGCAUUGAAGAAAGGAUAUUAGAGAUGCAGGAAAGGAAAAAGAAAUUGGCAAAGGAAGCGUUUGGAAAGCGGGGAGCAAAAGUACAUGAUGUUAGGACAGAUGAUCUUCGCAUACUCAUGUCCUUGUGAGUUCUUACGCUUGCUCACUCUGCAUCAGAUAAUACAGAUACCCGUUGCAGCACAAACGGAUGAGAUUGGAAUUUUAUUUUGAAACCACUCCCUUUCAACAGCAAUGAAGUUUAAAAAUGAUAGUUGGAGUCGAGAA
Molecule: RNA transcript, 2930 nt
Organism: Mercurialis annua (annual mercury)
Lineage: Eukaryota; Viridiplantae; Streptophyta; Magnoliopsida; Malpighiales; Euphorbiaceae
Gene name: putative SWI/SNF-related matrix-associated actin-dependent regulator of chromatin subfamily A member 3-like 1
Exons: 4
Source: RefSeq, a predicted model, not a curated record